CAUACAUUGGCAGGCAUCGUCAGGGUCGGGAUCGAACCCACGACCUCCUGCACACCAGGCGAGUCCCAAGCCUUCGACCGUGGCAGAAUGGUCGCGGCUGAGACGACUCGUGCUGACGAGAUGAAUCCGUCGUUGUCAACGCGUGCCAGGAAUCUCCUCCAGGCCGAGGAGCCGAACCGCCCAUUGGCGGCCGAGCUGAUGAGGCGGCUGGUGCUGAUGCAGCUGAAACAGCUGAUGGAGCUGCGGAGGAGGAGGCUGGAACUGGAGCUGGGGCGGGUGAAGAUAAAGCUGGAGGCGUCCGGGUCCGGGAACAUCUC
Long non-coding RNA from Lethenteron reissneri (Far Eastern brook lamprey), 317 nucleotides. RefSeq lists it as uncharacterized. NCBI's taxonomy places the organism in Eukaryota, Metazoa, Chordata, Hyperoartia, Petromyzontiformes, Petromyzontidae. The record is from RefSeq and is a predicted model, not a curated record.